UAACUGGGCGUAAAGGGCACGCAGGCGGUGACUUAAGUGAGGUGUGAAAGCCCCGGGCUUAGCCUGGGAAUUGCAUUUCAUACUGGGUCGCUAGAGUACUUUAGGGAGGGGUAGAAUUCCACGUGUAGCGGUGAAAUGCGUAGAGAUGUGGAGGAAUACCGAAGGCGAAGGCAGCCCCUUGGGAAUGUACUGACGCUCAUGUGCGAAAGCGUGGGGAGCAAACAGGAUUAGAUACCCUGGUAGUCCACGCUGUAAACGAUGUCGAUUUGGGGGUUGAGCUUUGAGCUUGGCGCCCGUAGCUAACGUGAUAAAUCGACCGCCUGGGGAGUACGGCCGCAAGGUUAAAACUCAAAUGAAUUGACGGGGGCCCGCACAAGCGGUGGAGCAUGUGGUUUAAUUCGAUGCAACGCGAAGAACCUUACCUACUCUUGACAUCCAGAGAACAUUCCAGAGAUGGAUUGGUGCCUUCGGGAACUCUGAGACAGGUGCUGCAUGGCUGUCGUCAGCUCGUGUCGUGAG
Molecule: ribosomal RNA, 519 nt
Filed under: uncultured bacterium
Lineage: Bacteria
Description: bacterial SSU rRNA
Rfam family: Bacterial small subunit ribosomal RNA
Source: RNAcentral